Molecule: long non-coding RNA, 7488 nt
Organism: Acanthopagrus latus (yellowfin seabream)
Lineage: Eukaryota; Metazoa; Chordata; Actinopteri; Spariformes; Sparidae
Exons: 3
Source: RefSeq, a predicted model, not a curated record
AAGCAACGUAUUCAGACUUGAUUAUGAACGUUUGUGCUUCUAACUCAAGUUCCAAAGACAAAAAAAAAAAACAUGGCGGAGCAAAUAAAUGGCAAGAAAGAUUUAAUAUUUUCUCCUUAAUGAGUGUGCUUUAGCUAGAUACAUGCUGCUAGUCCUGUGUUGCCAGAUUUCUUGGGGGUCAGUUGAGCUAUUUUUGAUUUGAUUUGGCAAGUAAAAAUAUAUUUUUUAUUUAUUUUUACAUAUACUGUUUUGGCAUUUUCUUCCGUAAAAAUGCCAAAACAAACUGUGGCCGACAUGGUAAAACACCAACUGCCAUCGAAGGCUAUCUCGACUGGGCUGAAAUUUGUUUUUUCCUUUACAAAUACAGCCGAGAAAAAAGCCAAAGUUACAUGUAGAUUUGGCCCUGGAUUUCACCUAAUUAUACAAAUAAAACAGCAAAUCCUGGGGUUAAAUAUAUCCCUUCCAGCUUAAAAAAGAAUUUGUCUACUUUUCAUGUUGGACUGGCAGAUUCAAGGCUCCUUAUUAAUGUCAGCCCAAACCUGGCAACGCCGCCAGUCCCUGGGCCAGCUCUGCCAUCGCUGUCCUCCAGCCCUUACAUUAUUCAAGUUCCCAUUUCUUCCCAAUAACCCCUCUGAUCAAAGCACACAGGUGCAAUUGCAGGUGUUGGAGUGCCCAUACAGCGCCUGUCAAGGUGAAAUAAUGUCCACAACAAAGGCCCGAGGAGGCUCUCGCUGCCUUUCAUCCGGCUGAGGUGAGAGAUAAAGAUGGAGAACAUGCGAGAGAGAGAGCAUCAUUACAAACUGCACUCUUUAUCUGAUCACUAAUGGCUUUGGAGAGGAGUUUCAAAACCAUCAACGCCGGUGUUUUCACCGAGCUUCCGCCCCCUUUUACAGCCGGCCAUUAUGUAAACUGGAGGAUAAAAUAUGCGUUGCCAGUCUCCUUCAUCCCGUAUGCACACAGUCAAGAUGACCUUUUUUCUUUUUUUUUCCUGCUGAUGGAUGCCAAAGUUACAGAGGUCUCUUGCGGGUUUUAACAUCUGAUAUGACUGCCAGAUUUUCAUAUUGCUGGGGAAAGCACGUCAGGAAAAGCUGUCAAAAUGACCCUCGUAUCUGCAGAACGCCGUUCAGGACGUCAGGCGGUGGAUGCGUUUCACACUGCUCCUUCUUUUCUUUGUGUUAAAGGUCAGCGUUUCAAAUGUCGUCCUGAAGGCCACUCCGUCAGCAGCCAGUAUUCCUUUUUCCUUAGACCGAUGGCGUCGUGCGCCCAGUGGAGGAUUCCUGCUAGCGUGGCAUCAUGGGUAGCGCCACGUGGAGAAACGACCUUUCCAGCCAUGUGUCAACCUGCCCGUGAUGCUCCAGGUGGCCUUUCUCAGCAUCACGCGGAUGAAUGUCUGUGUUAUGAUGCUCCAAACGCAGCAACUCAGCAUAUAGGAAGGACAACACACACACACACACACACACACACACACACACACACACACACACACACACAAAGUGUCUUUCUUGUUUUAUUCAGCAGCAGUUGGCAAGUGUUUGGUUUCAAAGAAAGCAUUCAGACAGUUGGUAUUGAAGCACGAGACAAAAGCGCGAAGAGUCAAAAUAUCAACCUUUUAAUGUUGGACAAAUAAACACGUCUGCUGUUCAAGGCAAAAAGUUUAUUUUCGUCAAAUGUUUUAUUAAUGGCUCAUGAAAAAUUCAGAUUUUUUUUGCUUUCCAAAGUGUCAAAGUUUCUUUUUUUUUACCGUUUACCUCAGGGGGUUUAGAUUUCACUGUGAGCAUCUCGUGCUCUGAAUCAAAGAAGCUUUUCCAGGGUUUAUGUCUUUGUUUUUUAUUAUUAUGACGCAGCCCAGUCUGCAGGAAACAAAUCAAGCCGUUUAACAAGUCACGUCUGUGUCGAAGGCGAAUGUGUCAAGUGUGAAACCAAAGAAUAUUUUAAAGUAAACUCGGGACAAGUUCCAGCCACGUUUAUUAAGACAAGAAAGAGUUUUAUCUAAAAGGAAGUUGGGACAUCGCGAGCCAUGAAAAGCGGUUGUUUUUAACGAGUCCUCGGGACAUUUGGAGUCAUGUUUGUGGCAACCAAAACAAGUUUUCCUAAACAAGUGUGGUUUUGUGCCUAAACCUAACCAGAGCAGAAGUACAGCAUUGUCAGAACAUACAGUAGAAUUCAAUUAAAGCUUCAACAUAAAGAAAUGUAUAGUUUCAAUAUUGGCAGGAAAGUGCACUACCAACAUUUAUUCUGGUGAUUGGGUUGUUUGACCACGAACAACAGGACGGCCUGGGGACAUUCAUCAGGUUAAAUUCAUGAAAAUUAAUCAGCUGAAUGAAUGAAUAAUAAUUAUAAUAAUGAUUAUACUUGAGGAACAGAACAUCAUAAAUAAAGACGGUUUUCUGAUGUGUUUCAGGUCACAACAUCUGUCCGUCAGGCUUUCCUUGGAACAAGAACAUUUCAAGCAAGGCGUAAUUAUCCAAUCUUGGAGCACCGAACAUGAGCUCUCAAAAACAGGUGCGCUCCUUAAAAACUGAUUUCCCAGGUGAGGGUGAUCCACUCUGACACAAAAUCAAAUCAACGAGAUGUUAAUUGGAUGGAUAACCUACCCCAAACAAGGUUAAAGCGGCCACGUGUUGAUUUUUAUAGCCAGCGACUGUCUGACAGGUGGACGGCAAAUGUUAAAACUUUUGAUAUUCCGUCCACAACCGUCUUGUUCAAGCCUUGGAGGAGGGAGGGGUUUCCAGGUGUACGAGGUCCAAACCCCUCCAGGACAGCGAACGCACCUUCUGCUGGAGUCAAAUGAAACCUAACAGGGAUAAUUGCCUUGUUAGAGCCUCCCAUGAGGUGAGCUCCCCCAGUGAGCUGCCAUGAGAAUCAUCAUGCAUAUAUGGAUGAACCCCGCUCCUCCUCCUCCUCCUCCUCCUCCUCCUCCUCCUCCUCCUCAGCUAGUAACCACCUGGCAACGCAUGUAUACCAUAGUUAGGUUGGGCGGCUGUGGGUGGCGACUGCUGACGGAUGAAUGGGAGGACAUUACAUUACAUUUUGAGAGGUUGACGGAGUGUUUUUUUCUUUUUUUUCAGAGUGAGUGCAGCUGACAGAUGGAUGAUUAGUGUACGUGUCCGUCCGAUCCAUCUGCACCGUCGACUCACACUCUGUUUACAUAUUGCAGGAUGGCAAGUAGAGGUGAAACUCCAGCCACUUCAGCUUCUACACACCCAGGAAGACUAUUUUUGAUUCCGCCUGAUGACGCUCGUGUGUGUGUGUGUCGCUUUCCCUGGUGGAAAGCUCAGAAUGAGACUCAGCUCAGGGCUGAACAUGCACCUCUGCCUCUCCCCUGCUGACUCGGUAGUGCUGAUGAUGAGGAGGAGGAGGAGGAGGAGGGGAUGCAUAUGUUGCGCCAAGCUGGAGUUGUUGAUUUUGCAUCCCAUGGCAGGUCUCCCCCCCCCCCACCUCAGAUCACGCCACGCAACAACAAUGACAACAACAAAACACAACAACAACUUCUCCGGGGGAGGCUGGCGCUGUCAUGGUAACGGCGUUGAGUGACCUUCAGAGGCUGCUGAUGCUCCCCAGAGCCGCCUCCUAUUCCGCUUGGCAUGGACUUUGUGAGUCAUCAGCAACAUUCAAAUUCACAUGCUCCUCUCUCCCUCUGGAGGUUUGGGGGCUUAUUAAAAUUGAUGAGCAAAUGGGGGGGGAGAAAAAAAUGAUGGGAACGGCAGCAACUGAGCCGCGUUUUCAUCUGAUGGCCAAUAACGAAUCUAUCAUCAACAAGAUGAGAUUAUGAUAAUGGCCUCCGUGGAGGAUCAAAGGGUGUCCAGCCAUUAAUCCAUCAGUAUUUACAUACAGCAGCGUGAGCGUGAGGGAGUUACGUAACCGUCACUCGAGUUGCCGGAUGAUAAAACCACUUUAAACCAGGAGGCUCUCACACUCACCUCCAGGAGAGCCCCGCCAUCCAGCCUGCUAAAAAAAACUAAACAAAAAACAACACCAUCAGAGCCGUGAUAGGCCGGCACGGUGACGGGAUCCAGGCUGGGAACAGUGCCAUCCACUGGGGGAGAACAGGAAGAGAUCCCUCCACCUCCACCUCCAUCUCCACCUCCAUCAGAACAUAAAGCUUCCAGCAGCCAUUAAGGGUCGACCAAAAAUAUGGAUGGAUGGCGUCUCGAGAUGAAGACGAAAGCGGCUCUGGUAAAUUGCUCACAGUUUGCCUCUGGGCUGAGAGGGAGGCUCAUGGACUGGGGACUGAUUAAGCCCGGGGAAUAAUAUUCUUCCCACAUCCAGAAGCCAAUAUGUCUUUAUUUCAGUGCAAAGCUCUUAAGGGAUUAAUAUUACCAGAAACUUCAGUUCCAAUUCAAUGCCAAGAAGUAACAGGCCCAGUUCUACCAAUAUGAACAGAGAUCCAUCCACCCGCCCCUGAUCCAGGUGCUGUAUCGUAGGCACCUGGACUUGUUUCUGUUUCCUGAAGACGUCUCACCUCUCAUCCAAGAGGAACCCUGUGUGUUUGAGUUUCAGAGUCAUUGGGACCACUUGGGGGUCGCUGGUCCGACCACAUGGAAACGCUUCUGUGUGUAAGCGCACAUUUCGCAUUGUUUUGGCUGAUCGUCCACAUGGAUCCUGUAAAUGCACUUUUUUGAAACCUGGUCUCAGGGUGGAAAAAUCCGAAAGCACCUUCACUGCUUUAUGGCUCAUGUACAGGAAAGUAAUCUGGCUGUUCAGAGCAAAUAAACACAAAUGUCUUUUGUUACCUCCAAGUGCAGAUAAAAGUCAAGCCCCACCCGGCACACUCUGUUGCUUUUCAGCCUGCAGAGCUUCCUCAUGAAUUUUGAAGCAAAUCAAAGUGUGUUUCUGUCUAAUUACAUUCAGAAUGUGUUUUUACCACACCAGAUCAGAUUUCUGGAUGCGAGAUGACAGACUGUUGUGUAUUCUGCUCCAGCAAAACCUCAAAAAAAACAUGCAACAACCAAACUUUACCACCAAGAAGUAGAUCAACAGGUGAGACCAGGUAAUAACAUUAAGGACAGAAGGUGGAGCAAAGUUAAAGAAGUCAGACCACAGGAAGAAUCAGCCAACAGGCCAAAGGACGGAGCAGAAUAUGGGUUUGUAGUGCCAUCUCAAAUAGAUGUCUUUUUUUAGGAUAAUGGGUUACGAGGGGUGGAGGGGGUAGACAGGAGUCAUUUUGGUGAGAGCGAUUUAGGUGACAGCUGCUGCAGUGAUAAAAUGGGCCAGAUGGAACGGAUACAAAGUGUUCAGACGUGUUUUACAGCAGCUGAUAAUGUAAUAGCUGCUGGAUAAAGUAAUAAUCACCUGUCAAAAUGUGAUAAAACUUCUCCUAAAGGGUUGAAAAUGGGGAGUAGAGUUCAACCAUUAAUACCUGGCUGUCAGUAUCAGGAUAGACUUAUCAUUUUACACUAAUUGGCAUCACUGCAGCCCAGUUGCAUAGAAGCAAAAGGAGCAUUUAAGGAGACCUGUGGACAUUUUUCAUGGAAAGUCUCCAGCUGUGAUCGUGGCAACCAACACAGGUGUUUUAAACCAAACCGUGAAGUUUUCCUAACCCUAACCAAGAGUGCAUACCAGUGACAGUUGUACCAGCUGUACAGUUGCAGGCAUUUUGGCAACAUUGUAGUUUGGGUAAAAAAACAAACAAACAACAAAAACGGAUGAAUAAUAAAAAGCCAGCUUUAAAAAAUGACAGCUGAAGAUCCAAGAUCCAAAAAGGCAGGCAACAAAAAAGCAACUAGGAGAAGCCAAACAAUGGAGGACAAACGGACACCGACUCUGACGGACAAAUGAAAAACAAAAAAAGAAAAGAAACAAAGGCAGGAUGUGUAAAGUAAAACACGACACACGAGGAUAAAUUUCCAACAUAAAACACCUGUGCUUAUUCUACAUCACCUGACUUCCUCCUUUGGCUGGCAAUUUGAAGACGAAGAUUUUAUAUUUUAUAGACUGCAGUUAAUCGUUAAUGAUGAUAAUCGUUUGUUGAAGCUCUCAUCCGAGUACAAAUAACUCCGUUCAUCCUCCUGGAACAGCUGUCAUGUGGCGAGGCCAGAGAAGAAAAACAAAACAAAACACAACUUUUCCAUUACUCCGAGCCAAACCAUUUAAAUAAUGCCAUUUGGUAAAUGUCAUGGCUUUGGAUGGCUAUUAGUUGAUUCCACUCAGUCUGUGAACUGUAUUAGAAUCCCAUUGACUUUUACGGGGCGUUUCAACAAAGGGCGGCCCGGCAUGUGGUCCAGGUGUUGAGGGAAGUGCAUGUGAGGCGUCUGAAGUCUCGUCACUGCGGCUCCAGCUCCAACAUGGCGCCGUCCUAUUCUUAAGAAAGACGGCUGGCCGAGCUUCAAAACGCACUUUCAUGGCGGGACGACGGAGACGUCUCAGAGACAGCGAGAGAUCUGUUGCUUCUGCUCAAAAGCGCAGACAGUGUGACAUUAGGUCGUCACGCAAUCAUUUCCCAUCACGAAGGACACUUUAAUUUGAAUAUUUGGGCUUUAAAGUGUCGACUUGGUUAUCACGUCGUGGAGAUAAUGAGGUUUAAAAGGUGCACGGGUAGGCUGGAGUCAUUUUCAGGCCGCCGGCGGAGAAAACAGGGCCGCUGUGAUAAAGUGGAGCAGAAGGAAUGGGCCGAGGAAAUUGCACAAAUAUGUCCGGCGUCGUUCCAUCCGUGCGUUUCUCGCUCUCGCUCUGGCAUCCUGACCCCUGACACCCUCUGCCUGGAUGAGUGCCUCCCUGUGCCGCGGACCCUGGAGAUCGGGGAGAUUGGCCGGAGAACGGAGAGCAUGAAACCAGCUGAUAAUGACAUAUGGCUGGGUUUUUCUACAAGGACGAGAUAAAGCCUGCCUCUAAUCUCUGCUCCCUCCCCCCCCGCGCCCCGAAAUAUCAGCCUCUCAGAAUCUGGUGCUCUUUGUGGGGGCAGAUGUGUUUAUCAGGAGCCGUACACGCAAACAAAUAUUAAAUAUUUGGUGGGGAAACAAGUCAAACAUGGCUGAGUUUGUACAAUAAAAGUUCAAUCAACAGCACGACCAGAUCUCUCAAAGAUAGACGAGUGUUUGUUCAAGACAAAAUAAGCAAAUGAUGAAAUCCUGCUGCUGCCAUUACAUGUCAGGUAUGUUGCAUUUGGCAGCAUCUUGAUUUAAUUUAGACCGCUUAAUUUUCUUUGAACUAGCGAUGGGAACUGAUAAGAUCCUUUUGAUACUAGUGCCAUAUUCUAGAUUCUUCUAGUCCGAUUCCUGGUAAAUUUUCAGUGUUGUUGUUCCUGAAUCUUGCUUCUUGAAAUGAGGCCCAAUUCUUCCCCUCCGUCACAACUCCUUCUUGUCACAAGUUCCCAGCAGUGACGCAUGAUCUUGACGUCUGUCAGAAAAACUUGCCGGGGCCUGAUAAAAAUGAAUCGAGCUCGGAGGGCAAACAAAUUUCCGAUCAAUCAGACAGAUUUGGAACCAGUUCUCAGCUGGAAGUGGUUCUCUAUUCCCGUCCCUGUUUUCUGUGACUGUUCUCUGCCUUCAA